Phyllopteryx taeniolatus (common seadragon) is the source of this 2322-nucleotide long non-coding RNA. RefSeq lists it as uncharacterized. The record is from RefSeq and is a predicted model, not a curated record. Lineage: Eukaryota; Metazoa; Chordata; Actinopteri; Syngnathiformes; Syngnathidae. The transcript is spliced from 4 exons.
GCUGAAGGGAGUUUCCCUCAAUCUCCACCUGCAUAUCAUGGGGCACUGCUCCAGCUUCUAGGGGGUCUUCAGCUGAAUGAGGCUGCAUUUGCUGAGCCAGUUCAUAUCUGGUUUGGCGGAGAUUAUGAUGAAAAAAAAGUUUGGAGAUGACUUGAAGGUCUUCUGGCAGUAGGGGCACAUGUAAGGUCGUAGGUCGCUAUGGGUCGUCAUGUGACGGCGUAGGCUACCACUGGUGGUGAACGUUGUAUCACACAUGACACACUUGUAUGCCUUCAGUCCUGAGUGGGUCCGUAUGUGCGCCUUGAGAACCCCUGAGGAGGCAAAACCCCGACCACACUGCACACACUUGUAUGGCCUUUCUCCUGUAUGAGAUCUUGGUUAAGCAAAUUGUAAAAAAAAACAAUGACACGGUUACUUUAAAUGAGCAAAGCAAUGACCAGUAUUAGAAGACUAGUCUCACCUAACAUGCUGUUUCAAAUGACUUGAUUUCUUAUAGGCCUUAUUGCAGAACUGGCACUUGUAUGGACGAUCGCUGCCCACCACCUCCAGGUACUGUUGGAAUGCCAGGCGAGGGUUCUGAGAUGGGAUGAGGCCUGUUGAGCAACCAACACAUGGUUUUCAAUGUGCGAUGAGAUACCAAUUCAUACAAGGACAUGCUACGCAAAUGAAUAAACAGGAUGAGCAAUGCAUUCUACUCAUGUAAAGAGUCUAUGUUCAAAAUUGUCGACACAUGCUCUUACCAAAGUCCGUAAUGAGAAUUGGCUCCUGCAGUGGGAUGUCAGGUAGUGGUAAAUUACUCUUAGAUGCUUUGGCUUUGUUUGUUUUUCGUGGAAACCUAUGCCUCUUCUGCUGUAAGCUUUUGAAGUGAGAGGCAAUGUGUGUUUUCCUGUGUCCUGAUGUACGAAAGAUCUUAUCGCAGUGAGGGCAGGAGAAAGGACGAACACCUAAAAAGAAAAAGUACAUUUUGAAACCAUUGACAAUUGAAAAUGGUGCUGACUGCGAAAUAUCUACUGUAUUUAAAAAGGAACUUAUGAAAAGUUUUCAGUGCUUGAAAGGGCUUUCAUGCGCACUUGCUCUCAUUGUCCUCUUGAAAUGCUCUCGACGCUUUAUCAUUUUGAACAAGUGUUAAAUAUAUUGUAGAAGUUAUCAUUUAUUUGCUUAGCUUGCAUUAGUAUUAUGGACCAUUUUGAGAAAGGAACAUGUCUCGCCUUCAAGAAGAUGACUCAGCAGGAAUCAUCAGAGAGAAGGACGUGGCCGGGACGUGGCAGGUGUUGGUCCCAUGUUUUCACCUUGAAACCCUACCCUUAGUGUGUUGUGUCUUGUAGCUUAGUACGUUAUGUCUUGUAAACUUAGAAACCUCCCUAUUUCAAAUAAAUACAGGAGCGACGGGAGAGAUUGUUUAGCGCGUAUUGAGAGGCUGUAAUCUGAACAAUCUCCCAUACGCCCUCCUCAUGAGAAAAAGAAACCAGCGUCUUCAUUCCUUUUGUGUCUAUUUUUUAUAAUGUUGGGUAAGAUAAAUCCAACAUUAAAUUGGUCCUUCGAGCCGGAUGUCAACACACCCGAGGAUUCCACUUGUGGAGCCGACUUCCAUUUAAGAGACCGUGGCCACGGCAAGUAAGACCCUUUACGGGACUGGUCUUCGUUCUCCUCAACUGGGAUCUGAAGGUUGACGACAAUCCACAGGAUUGAAGACGAUUUUGCAUGUCCUGUUAGGGAUCCCCACAGCGUGUCAUCCUAUCUCCUGCACAGCCACUUCUCCUAGAUGCUUCCAUUCCUCCACAGGUUCCACCACCAAGUCUCCUCCUCCAUUUUCCUACCAGAAGAUACACCAAGUACUCACCUGCCUGCCUCUCUGAUCACCUUGGCUGCAGUGCUCCAGUUGUCUGGUAGACCUCCUCUUGUCUACCGAGAGCCUGUCUCACCUCUUCCCAAAAAGCUGCUUAACACUCGUCUUGUCUCAGCUUCCACCACAUGGUUCUCUGCUCUGCCUCUGUCUUCUUAAUCUUCCUCCCCACCACCAGAGUCAUUUUACACACCACCAUCCUAUGCUGUCUAGCCACACUCUCCCCUACCACUACCGUACAGUCUGUAACCUCCUUCAGAUUACAUAAUCUGCACAAGAUGUAAUCCACCUGUGUGCUUCUAACUCCGUUCUUGCAGGUCACCCUAUGUUCCUGCCUCUUCUGGAAGAAAGUUUUCACUACAGCAAUUUACAUCGUUUUUGCAAAGUCUACCACCAUCUGUCCCUCGAGGUUCCUUACCUGGAUACCGGAUUUACCCAUCACUUCUUCAUCACCCCUGUUUCCUUCACCAACAUGUCCA